This 70-nucleotide transfer RNA is filed under the name Conus miles. RNAcentral describes it as "tRNA-Asn". The record is from RNAcentral. Lineage: Eukaryota; Metazoa; Mollusca; Gastropoda; Neogastropoda; Conidae.
UAAGUGAAAGCCAAAGGGGAGGCGCCUAGCUGUUAAUUAGGAGAUUGUAGUGCUUAAGCUACUCAUUUAG